UUUUUUUUGGAACUAGCUUCUUCAUUCAUUCAGAAUCCAGAUUACAAUCCUCUUGUUCUUGUAGAGGUCGCAACAAGAAGCUAGGGGGUUCUCUAUCCAAACUUCAGUACUACUAGAACUAGCAUGCUUAGCACAAACAUGGGCGACAACAUUAGACGAUGAACCAUAUUAAAAGAGGUAAAAGACGUCACGACUUCCUGAAUCUCACGCAAAAUCGUUGCAAUCUCCGAUCUGUGGUUGUGUUCGGCCAGUCCUCCAGCUCUGAAGAAAACUGAGGGCAACAACCACGGAAUGCUGGAACUGCAGGUAAAUAUUUGACACGACGAGCACAGUCACGGCUUCAUAUCAUAACAGUCACGCCGUCCAACCACCUGGCGAGAAUCAGAACCACAAUGCCACACAGCAAAUCACAACCAACCAGAUCAGGCAUCUCAUUCUUUCCAACUAAACCACCUGUAGGGAACUAUCAAAACGAUGAGCCGCCAAGAUGCUUUGCUCUCUGCCAGCAAUCUGUCGACCGCUGAAGGGCCAGAAGAGCUAGCUGAAGCACGUAAAAGGACCGACAAAAAAUGCAGGAAAAAAAAGUCAGUGACUCAGUUCGCAAAGAAUGAGAAUUGCAGUAGACUGCAGCAAGGAACACAGAAGCGGGACAAAACAUGAAACUAUUAUUUCCAAAGACGCAAAGCUCAUCUAUGCAACCAAACCGACUAAACACAGCAAAAUUACAACCGAACCGUUCAUAUUCUUCACAACCAGAAACUAAACUCAGGUCCCAUAUUAGCAACUUCGUUACAUGAAGGUAGCAAGCAGGUAGGAAAAGCAAAAGGCAACUCAUGUCCCAACUUAGCAUGAAUCCUGGCGUCCGGAGGCACACCAUUUCACAUUUUAUUCUCUGCAUAGACAAGCAGCGGGGCCGUUCCACGACCGCAAAGGCCACGGGAAGGAACCAUGGAGCGGAGAUGACGCUCUACUGGGUCUUGAACAUGUGGCGGAUCAGGUCAACAACGCGGUUGCUGUAGCCCCACUCGUUGUCGUACCAGGAGACGAGCUUGACGAAGUUGUCGUUCAGAGCGAUUCCAGCCUUGGCGUCGAAGAUGCUCGACCUAAGUGGAAACA
This 1116-nucleotide long non-coding RNA is filed under the name Setaria italica (foxtail millet). Its description in RNAcentral is "long non-coding RNA (SITA_LNC004372)". Lineage: Eukaryota; Viridiplantae; Streptophyta; Magnoliopsida; Poales; Poaceae. The record is from RNAcentral.